CGAUUCGUAACAAACACUUGCGUCCACAAGCCUUUUUAACUUUUGACCUCGGAUCAGGUAGGGAUACCCGCU
RNAcentral lists this ribosomal RNA (72 nucleotides) under Parastagonospora nodorum. Its description in RNAcentral is "partial 28S ribosomal RNA". Lineage: Eukaryota; Fungi; Ascomycota; Dothideomycetes; Pleosporales; Phaeosphaeriaceae. The record is from RNAcentral.